AUUUACGGCAACACUUACAAGUUCAAUUCAGGGUCAAAAUCAUUGCUAUAUUUUGGAUGGUUAUUUUUGAAGUGAUUGAUUGGUGGAUUACUGUAAUUGAAGGAACUAUGGGAAAGUUCUCCUUCCCAAGGCUCAUCAUAAGAAUGCCAUGGGCAAAUCGGACUGCACAGGACGAUUUCUGCACAGGAACUACUGAACUCCACAGGCCCAGAACACACCAGCCUCACAACUCCUCACAACUCCCCAGCCUUAAUGUGUGUAGGCAGGGCAAGGAGGACAUCGAUUCAACCCAGAAGAAGAGGAAAAAGAAGAGGCUAAAUGAGAAGGGAACCCAGGUUGAACUAGGCAUGCGGGAGGAUAUCCAUGACCUUGACCGCGCCCAUUGGAGAUUGGCUAGAGAGACAUGGAGAACUGAGCGAGGAAACAUGAGGGAGAUUAAGGCGCUGUAUGGAGAAAUAUUUAGGCUGCACCAACUCUUGGAGGAGUCCACCUGGCCGUGCUGCUGCUCCAGUUUCAACUGUUCUGCCUGCGGCUAUGGAACCCUGACCUGUUCACCGGACGUGCUUGUUGCACCCUCGACAACUACUAUGAUUAUUAUUAUUUGACCAUGCUGGUCAUUUAUGAACAUUUUAACAUUUUAACAUCUUGACCAUGUUCUGUUAUAAUAUCCACCCUGCACAGCCAGAAGAGGACUGGCCACCCCUCAUAGCCUGGUUCCUCUCUAGGUUUCUUCCUAGGUUUUUGGCCUUUCUAGGGAGUUUUUCCUAGGGAGAUUUUCCUAGCCACCGUGCUUCUUUCACAUGCUUUGUUUGCUGUUUGGGGUUUUAGGCUGGGUUUCUGUACAGCACUUUGAGAAUAUCAGCUGAUGUACGAAGGGCUAUAUAAAAAUAAAUUUGAUUUGAUUUGAUUCUGAGGAAGGUCUGCGUUUUGCACUGGUAGUAUUCUUAAGAAGGCCUGCAUUAUGCACUGGUAGUAUUCUUAAG
RNAcentral lists this long non-coding RNA (983 nucleotides) under Salmo salar (Atlantic salmon). RNAcentral's name for it is "lncRNA (ENSSSAG00000120203.1)". The record is from RNAcentral. Lineage: Eukaryota; Metazoa; Chordata; Actinopteri; Salmoniformes; Salmonidae.